This 244-nucleotide ribosomal RNA is filed under the name uncultured bacterium. Its description in RNAcentral is "partial 16S ribosomal RNA". It matches the Rfam family "Bacterial small subunit ribosomal RNA", at positions 524 to 770 of the family's 1533-position model. The record is from RNAcentral.
UACGUAGGGGGCUAGCGUUGUCCGGAAUCAUUGGGCGUAAAGAGCGUGUAGGCGGUUCGGUAAGUCCGCUGUGAAAGUCCAGGGCUCAACCCUGGAAUGCCGGUGGAUACUGUCGGGCUAGAGUGCGGAAGAGGCGAGUGGAAUCCUGGUGUAGCGGUGAAAUGCGCAGAUAUCAGGAGGAACACCUAUUGCGAAGGCAGCUCGCUGGACGUUACUGACGCUGAGACGCGAAAGCGUGGGAGCA